AGAAAAAAAAAGGUUUUUAUAGUUUUUUUAAACAGCUCAGGAUGAACGCUGGCGGCGUGCCUAAUACAUGCAAGUCGAGCGAACGGACGAGAAGCUUGCUUCUCUGAUGUUAGCGGCGGACGGGUGAGUAACACGUGGAUAACCUACCUAUAAGACUGGGAUAACUUCGGGAAACCGGAGCUAAUACCGGAUAAUAUUUUGAACCGCAUGGUUCAAAAGUGAAAGACGGUCUUGCUGUCACUUAUAGAUGGAUCCGCGCUGCAUUAGCUAGUUGGUAAGGUAACGGCUUACCAAGGCAACGAUGCAUAGCCGACCUGAGAGGGUGAUCGGCCACACUGGAACUGAGACACGGUCCAGACUCCUACGGGAGGCAGCAGUAGGGAAUCUUCCGCAAUGGGCGAAAGCCUGACGGAGCAACGCCGCGUGAGUGAUGAAGGUCUUCGGAUCGUAAAACUCUGUUAUUAGGGAAGAACAUAUGUGUAAGUAACUGUGCACAUCUUGACGGUACCUAAUCAGAAAGCCACGGCUAACUACGUGCCAGCAGCCGCGGUAAUACGUAGGUGGCAAGCGUUAUCCGGAAUUAUUGGGCGUAAAGCGCGCGUAGGCGGUUUUUUAAGUCUGAUGUGAAAGCCCACGGCUCAACCGUGGAGGGUCAUUGGAAACUGGAAAACUUGAGUGCAGAAGAGGAAAGUGGAAUUCCAUGUGUAGCGGUGAAAUGCGCAGAGAUAUGGAGGAACACCAGUGGCGAAGGCGACUUUCUGGUCUGUAACUGACGCUGAUGUCAAAAAAAGGG
RNAcentral lists this ribosomal RNA (793 nucleotides) under Staphylococcus aureus. RNAcentral describes it as "bacterial SSU rRNA". It matches the Rfam family "Bacterial small subunit ribosomal RNA", at positions 1 to 764 of the family's 1533-position model. Lineage: Bacteria; Bacillati; Bacillota; Bacilli; Caryophanales; Staphylococcaceae. The record is from RNAcentral.